GGUUUAAUUCGAUGAUACGCGAGGAACCUUACCCGGGCUUGAACUGCCAGUGACUCAUGCAGAGACGCAUGUUUCUUCGGACACUGGCGGAGGUGCUGCAUGGUUGUCGUCAGCUCGUGCCGUGAGGUGUCGGCUUAAGUGCCAUAACGAGCGCAACCCUUCUCCCUGUUUGCCAUCGGGUAAUGCCGGGCACUCCAGGGACACUGCCAUCGUAAGAUGUGA
Molecule: ribosomal RNA, 222 nt
Filed under: uncultured bacterium
Lineage: Bacteria
Description: partial 16S ribosomal RNA
Rfam family: Bacterial small subunit ribosomal RNA
Source: RNAcentral